RNAcentral lists this ribosomal RNA (666 nucleotides) under uncultured Lachnospiraceae bacterium. Its description in RNAcentral is "bacterial SSU rRNA". It matches the Rfam family "Bacterial small subunit ribosomal RNA", at positions 68 to 742 of the family's 1533-position model. The record is from RNAcentral. Lineage: Bacteria; Bacillati; Bacillota; Clostridia; Lachnospirales; Lachnospiraceae.
UAUUUCAUUGAGACUUCGGUGGAUUUGAUCUAUUUCUAGUGGCGGACGGGUGAGUAACGCGUGGGUAACCUGCCUUAUACAGGGGGAUAACAGUCAGAAAUGGCUGCUAAUACCGCAUAAGCGCACAGAGCUGCAUGGCUCAGUGUGAAAAACUCCGGUGGUAUAAGAUGGACCCGCGUUGGAUUAGCUAGUUGGUGGGGUAACGGCCCACCAAGGCGACGAUCCAUAGCCGGCCUGAGAGGGUGAACGGCCACAUUGGAACUGAGACACGGUCCAAACUCCUACGGGAGGCAGCAGUGGGGAAUAUUGCACAAUGGGGGAAACCCUGAUGCAGCAACGCCGCGUGAGUGAAGAAGUAUUUCGGUAUGUAAAGCUCUAUCAGCAGGGAAGAUAAUGACGGUACCUGACUAAGAAGCUCCGGCUAAAUACGUGCCAGCAGCCGCGGUAAUACGUAUGGAGCAAGCGUUAUCCGGAUUUACUGGGUGUAAAGGGUGCGUAGGUGGCAGUGCAAGUCAGAUGUGAAAGGCCGGGGCUCAACCCCGGAGCUGCAUUUGAAACUGCUCGGCUAGAGUACAAGAGAGGCAGGCGGAAUUCCUAGUGUAGCGGUGAAAUGCGUAGAUAUUAGGAGGAACACCAGUGGCGAAGCGGCCUGCUGGACUGUUACUG